Molecule: transfer RNA, 76 nt
Filed under: Staphylococcus aureus
Lineage: Bacteria; Bacillati; Bacillota; Bacilli; Caryophanales; Staphylococcaceae
Description: tRNA-Thr
Rfam family: tRNA
About the family: Transfer RNA (tRNA) molecules are approximately 80 nucleotides in length. Their secondary structure includes four short double-helical elements and three loops (D, anti-codon, and T loops).
Source: RNAcentral
GCCGGCCUAGCUCACUUGGUAGAGCAACUGACUUGUAAUCAGUAGGUUGGGGGUUCAAGUCCUCUGGCCGGCACCA